This is a non-coding RNA of Odocoileus virginianus texanus, 493 nucleotides long. NCBI's taxonomy places the organism in Eukaryota, Metazoa, Chordata, Mammalia, Artiodactyla, Cervidae. The record is from RefSeq and is a predicted model, not a curated record.
CAAAUACUUAGGCAUACUGUAGAGAAGCUCAAGAGCCUGUGGGAAGGAUCCAAGGCUCCCAGCUCCCCAGUUCAAGUGAGCUCUCAGCUACCAGCCAUGUGACUGAGCCACAUUGAAAGUGGGGCCUCCAGCUCCCAUCUGGGCCAUGGCAGCUGACACCCCCCCAGGGGAGGGGUUCCCCUGUCCAGGUUGAAGAUUUCGAUCACCUGAGGUUGAUGACUGCCACAGAAAGGGUGGCCUGGCAUCUUAAAGGCUUGGAGGUUGAUGAACAUGUCAAAUAAGAUGGUUUCCAACUUUUUGGUGUGUUGCAAAGUGCUUUGGUGAACCACCUUCUGGAUGAUUCAUCAAUUCCACUCCUCCCGCCUACAGAUGUCUAAAUUUCAGUUUUCUGAGAAGCUACAAAGCGUGAAGUGGCAACUCCACAUUGAGUCAGAGGACACUGAGUGUUAAACUGUAAUACCGCCAAGAGUUUGGUGUCAACCCUCUUAACCUG